RNAcentral lists this ribosomal RNA (796 nucleotides) under bacterium enrichment culture clone R4-57B. RNAcentral's name for it is "bacterial SSU rRNA". It matches the Rfam family "Bacterial small subunit ribosomal RNA", at positions 8 to 823 of the family's 1533-position model. The record is from RNAcentral.
AGAGUUUGAUCAUGGCUCAGGAUGAACGUUGGCGGCGUGCCUAAUACAUGCAAGUCGAACGGAGAUUGUAGCAAUACGGUCUCAGUGGCGAACGGGUGAGUAACGCGUUGGUGACCUGCCCCGAAGUGUGGAAUAACAGAUCGAAAGAGCUGCUAAUACCGCAUAAUAUCCAGAGGACUAGAUGCCUUUGGAUUAAAGGAUUUAUUCGCUUCGGGAGGGGCCUGCGUCCCAUCAGCUAGUUGGUAAGGUAAAGGCUUACCAAGGCUAUGACGGGUAGGGGACCUGAGAGGGUGGCCCCCCACAAUGGAACUGAAACACGGUCCAUACACCUACGGGUGGCAGCAGUAGGGAAUAUUAGUAAUGGGCGAAAGCCUGAACUAGCAACGCCGCGUGUGCGAAGAAGGCCUUCGGGUUGUAAAGCACUUUUUGAGAGGAUGAGGAAGGACGGUACUCUCAGAAUAAGUCUCGGCUAACUACGUGCCAGCAGCCGCGGUAACACGUAGGAGGCGAACGUUAUCCGGAUUUACUGGGCGUAAAGCGCGUGUAGGUGGUUUGGUAAGUAGGGCGUGAAAGCUCCUGGCUCAACUGGGAGAGGCCGUUCUAAACUGCCGAACUAGAGGAUGGUAGAGGGAGGUGGAAUUCCGGGUGUAGCGGUGGAAUGCGCAGAUAUCCGGAGGAACACCAGUGGCGAAAGCGGCCUCCUGGACCACUCCUGACACUCAGACGCGAAAGCUAGGGUAGCAAACGGGAUUAGAGACCCCGGUAGUCCUAGCCCUAAACGAUGUAGACUUGGCGU